GUGGUUGGAUUGUGGCUGCUGCUUUUUCUUUCGAACAACUACGAAAUAUAUCUCAUACUAAUUGGUGGUGCUGGAAAAAAAUCCUAAAAAAAAACCCAAAAAAGAUCACCAUGAGCCAAGAUUAUUCCUCUUACUCCCAACAACAAUGGGCAGGUUAUUCUCAGAGUACGGAUACGAGUCAACAGGCUCCACAGCAAGCUGGCUCCAGCCAAAACCAAAAUUACCAAAACUACAACUACUCUCAACCUUCCCAAGGUGGAUCAACCAGUGGGUAUGAUCAAACCAAAACAGAUGGUCAUAGUCAGGGUCAACAGUAUUCUUAUAACCAGGGUACAGGCCAAU
Molecule: non-coding RNA, 342 nt
Filed under: Chattonella subsalsa
Lineage: Eukaryota; Raphidophyceae; Chattonellales; Chattonellaceae
Source: RNAcentral